GAUGAACGCUGGCGGCGUGCUUAACACAUGCAAGUCGAACGAAGCACUUUAUUUGAUUUCCUUCGGGACUGAUUAUUUUGUGACUGAGUGGCGGACGGGUGAGUAACGCGUGGGUAACCUGCCUUGUACAGGGGGAUAACAGCUGGAAACGGCUGCUAAUACCGCAUAAGCGCACGGCAUCGCAUGAUGCAGUGUGAAAAACUCCGGUGGUAUAAGAUGGACCCGCGUUGGAUUAGCUAGUUGGUGAGGUAACGGCCCACGAAGGCGACGAUCCAUAGCCGACCUGUGAGGGGGAGCGGCGACAUUGAGACUGAGCCACGGCCCAAACUCCUACGGGAGGCAGCAGUGGGGGAUAUUGCACAAUGGGCGAAAGGCUGAUGCAGCGACGCCGCGAGAGCGAAGAAGUAUUUCGGUAUGUAAAGCUCUAUCAGCAGGGAAUAUAAUGACGGUACCUAACUAAGAAGCACCGGCUAAAUACGUG
RNAcentral lists this ribosomal RNA (481 nucleotides) under uncultured bacterium. RNAcentral's name for it is "partial 16S ribosomal RNA". It matches the Rfam family "Bacterial small subunit ribosomal RNA", at positions 28 to 507 of the family's 1533-position model. The record is from RNAcentral.